This 310-nucleotide ribosomal RNA is filed under the name Arcoscalpellum sp. 5 SML-2013. RNAcentral describes it as "partial 12S ribosomal RNA". The record is from RNAcentral. Lineage: Eukaryota; Metazoa; Arthropoda; Thecostraca; Scalpellidae.
AACGGAUUUGGCGGCAAAAUAUUCCCCCCUAGAGGAACCUGCCCUAUAAAUGAUACCCCACGAUUAAUUUUACUUUUAUUAGUGAACAGUUUGUAUAUCGCUGUUGUUAGUUAGAUUUUUUAGGAGACUUUCUUUAAUGAUUUAUUUCAUUGACUUCAAGUAAAGGUGCAGCUUAUGUAAAAGAAAGAGGUGGGUUACAAUUAAUAGAAUAAAUGAAUUUAAGUAUGUAAAAACUAAUGAAAAUGGAUUUAGAAGUAACUUUUUAUAAAUAAUUUGAUAAGAGUAUUAUUUUGUGUACACACCGCCCGUC